AACGCACGAGACCUGCGGACCUGCGGAGGGAUCAUUAAUGAGAAACUGCCCCUCGCGGGUAGAUCUCCCACCCUUUGUAAACUUACCUUUGUUGCUUUGGCAGGCCCGUCUCCGGACCGCCGGCUUCGGCUGGCCAGUGCCUGCCAGAGGAUUCUAAAACUCUGUCUGCCAGUGUUGUCUGAGUCUAUAUACAAUCGUUAAAACUUUCAACAACGGAUCUCUAGAUCGGAAGAGCACACG
Molecule: unclassified non-coding RNA, 240 nt
Filed under: soil metagenome
Description: partial contains 5.8S ribosomal RNA, internal transcribed spacer 2, and large subunit ribosomal RNA
Source: RNAcentral